UCCCUGCUAGCUCAGUCAGUAAAGAAUCUGCUUGCAGGGCAGGAGACCUGGGUUCAAUCCCUGGGUGGGGAA
Transfer RNA from Ovis aries (sheep), 72 nucleotides. It matches the Rfam family "tRNA". Rfam says of the family: Transfer RNA (tRNA) molecules are approximately 80 nucleotides in length. The record is from Rfam. Lineage: Eukaryota; Metazoa; Chordata; Mammalia; Artiodactyla; Bovidae.